GUUGUACUCCCUCCGUCCCAAAAUUCUUGUCCUAGGUUUAUCUAAAAACGAAUGUAUCUAAAUAGUAAAAUGUGACUAGAUACAUUUAUAUUUAGACAAAUCUAAGACAAUAAUUUUGGGACGGAGGGAAUACUAA
Non-coding RNA from Hordeum vulgare subsp. vulgare (domesticated barley), 136 nucleotides. The record is from Rfam. NCBI's taxonomy places the organism in Eukaryota, Viridiplantae, Streptophyta, Magnoliopsida, Poales, Poaceae.